RNAcentral lists this ribosomal RNA (2273 nucleotides) under Pseudoalteromonas galatheae. RNAcentral describes it as "Pseudoalteromonas sp. S4498 Bacterial large subunit ribosomal RNA". It matches the Rfam family "Bacterial large subunit ribosomal RNA", at positions 656 to 2911 of the family's 2925-position model. Lineage: Bacteria; Pseudomonadati; Pseudomonadota; Gammaproteobacteria; Alteromonadales; Pseudoalteromonadaceae. The record is from Rfam by way of RNAcentral.
UUUAGGGGAGCCGUAGCGAAAGCGAGUCUUAACUGGGCGCUUAAGUUGCAGGGUAUAGACCCGAAACCCGGUGAUCUAGCCAUGGGCAGGUUGAAGGUUGAGUAACAUCAACUGGAGGACCGAACCCACUAACGUUGAAAAGUUAGGGGAUGACCUGUGGCUAGGAGUGAAAGGCUAAUCAAACCGGGAGAUAGCUGGUUCUCCCCGAAAUCUAUUUAGGUAGAGCCUCGGACGAAUACUUACGGGGGUAGAGCACUGUUAAGGCUAGGGGGUCAUCCCGACUUACCAACCCUUUGCAAACUCCGAAUACCGUAAAGUACUAUCCGGGAGACACACGGCGGGUGCUAACGUCCGUCGUGGAGAGGGAAACAACCCAGACCGUCAGCUAAGGUCCCAAAGUGUAUGUUAAGUGGGAAACGAUGUGGGAAGGCUAAAACAGCUAGGAGGUUGGCUUAGAAGCAGCCACCCUUUAAAGAAAGCGUAAUAGCUCACUAGUCGAGUCGGCCUGCGCGGAAGAUGUAACGGGGCUAAACAUACCACCGAAGCUACGGCUGCGUACGUAAGUAUGCGGGGUAGGGGAGCGUUCUGUAAGUGGCUGAAGGUGUGCCGGGAGGCAUGCUGGACAUAUCAGAAGUGCGAAUGCUGACAUGAGUAACGACAAGAGGAGUGAAAAACUCCUCCGCCGGAAGACCAAGGGUUCCUAUCCCAUGUUAAUCAGGGUAGGGUGAGUCGACCCCUAAGGCGAGGCUGAAGAGCGUAGUCGAUGGGAAACGGGUUAAUAUUCCCGUACUUGGUAUGAAUGCGAUGGGGGGACGGAGCAGGCUAGGCAAGCAUGGCGUUGGUUGUCCAUGUGAAAGGCUGUAGGCUGGUGACUUAGGAAAAUCCGGGUUGCUAAGGCUGAGAGUCGAGACGAGCCACUAAGGUGGUGAAGUUGUUGAUGCCCUACUUCCAGGAAAAGCCUCUAAGCUUCAGUUCAUACUGAAUCGUACCCUAAACCGACACAGGUGGUCAGGUAGAGAAUACUAAGGCGCUUGAGAGAACUCGGGUGAAGGAACUAGGCAAAAUUGUACCGUAACUUCGGGAGAAGGUACGCUCUUGUUUGUGAAAGACUUGCUCUGUAAGCAAACGAGAGCCGCAGUGACCAGGUGGCUGGGACUGUUUAUUAAAAACACAGCACUGUGCAAAAUCGUAAGAUGACGUAUACGGUGUGACACCUGCCCGGUGCCGGAAGGUUAAUUGAUGGGGUUAGCUUAGGCGAAGCUCUUGAUCGAAGCCCCGGUAAACGGCGGCCGUAACUAUAACGGUCCUAAGGUAGCGAAAUUCCUUGUCGGGUAAGUUCCGACCUGCACGAAUGGUGUAACCAUGGCCACGCUGUCUCCACCCGAGACUCAGUGAAAUUGAAAUCGCAGUGAAGAUGCUGUGUACCCGCGGCUAGACGGAAAGACCCCGUGAACCUUUACUACAGCUUGGCACUGAACAUUGACCCUACAUGUGUAGGAUAGGUGGGAGGCUUUGAAGCAGGAACGCUAGUUUCUGUGGAGCCGACCUUGAAAUACCACCCUUGUAGUGUUGAUGUUCUAACUUAGGCCCCUGAACCGGGGUUGAGGACAGUGCCUGGUGGGUAGUUUGACUGGGGCGGUCUCCUCCCAAAGAGUAACGGAGGAGCACGAAGGUUUGCUAAGUACGGUCGGACAUCGUACGGUUAGUGUAAUGGUAGAAGCAAGCUUAACUGCGAGACAGACACGUCGAGCAGGUACGAAAGUAGGUCAUAGUGAUCCGGUGGUUCUGAAUGGAAGGGCCAUCGCUCAACGGAUAAAAGGUACUCCGGGGAUAACAGGCUGAUACCGCCCAAGAGUUCAUAUCGACGGCGGUGUUUGGCACCUCGAUGUCGGCUCAUCACAUCCUGGGGCUGAAGUCGGUCCCAAGGGUAUGGCUGUUCGCCAUUUAAAGUGGUACGCGAGCUGGGUUUAGAACGUCGUGAGACAGUUCGGUCCCUAUCUGCCGUGGGCGUUUGAGAAUUGAGAGGGGCUGCUCCUAGUACGAGAGGACCGGAGUGGACGAACCGCUGGUGUUCGGGUUGUGAUGCCAAUUGCAUUGCCCGGUAGCUACGUUCGGAACUGAUAACCGCUGAAAGCAUCUAAGCGGGAAGCAGGCCUCGAGAUGAGUUCUCACUUUGACUUAGAGUCAACUGAAGGGCCGUUGAAGACUACAACGUUGAUAGGCGAGAUGUGGAAGUGCUGUGAGGCAUUAAGCUAACUCGUACUAAUUACCCG